This 168-nucleotide small nuclear RNA is filed under the name Aotus nancymaae (Ma's night monkey). RNAcentral describes it as "U1 spliceosomal RNA (ENSANAG00000018513.1)". It matches the Rfam family "U1 spliceosomal RNA". From Rfam's summary of the family: U1 is a small nuclear RNA (snRNA) component of the spliceosome (involved in pre-mRNA splicing). The record is from Rfam by way of RNAcentral. Lineage: Eukaryota; Metazoa; Chordata; Mammalia; Primates; Aotidae.
AUAGUUACCUGGCAGGGGAGAUACCAUGAUCACGAAGGCGGUUUUCCCAGGGCAAGGCUUAUCCGUUCGUUGCACUCCAGAUGUGCUGACCCCUGAGAUUUCCCCAAAUGUGGGAAACUCCACUGCAUAAUUUGUGGUAGCGGGGGACUGUGUUUGCGCUCUCUCGUC